UGGGGAAUAUUGGACAAUGGGCGAAAGCCUGAUCCAGCCAUGCCGCGUGUGUGAAGAAGGUCUUCGGAUUGUAAAGCACUUUAAGUUGGGAGGAAGGGCAGUAAGCGAAUACCUUGCUGUUUUGACGUUACCGACAGAAUAAGCACCGGCUAACUCUGUGCCAGCAGCCGCGGUAAUACAGAUGGUGCAAGCGUUAAUCGGAAUUACUGGGCGUAAAGCGCGCGUAGGUGGUUCGUUAAGUUGAAUGUGAAAGCCCCGGGCUCAACCUGGGAACUGCAUCCAAAACUGGCGAGCUAGAGUAGGGCAAAGGGUGGUGGAAUUUCCUGUGUAGCGGUAAAAUGCGUAGAUAUAGGAAGGAACACCAGUGGCGAAGGCGACCACCUGGGCUCAUACUGACACUGAGGUGCGAAAGCGUGGGGAGCAAACAGG
Molecule: ribosomal RNA, 429 nt
Filed under: Pseudomonadota bacterium
Lineage: Bacteria; Pseudomonadati; Pseudomonadota
Description: Proteobacteria bacterium partial 16S ribosomal RNA
Rfam family: Bacterial small subunit ribosomal RNA
Source: RNAcentral